GUCGGGUACAGUGGCACAUGCCUGUCGUCCCAGCUACUCAGAACACUGAGGCGGGAGAAUCGCUUGAGCCUAGGAGUUCUGGGCUGUAGUGUGCUAUGCCAAUUGGAUUUCCAUACUAAGUUUGGCAUCAAUAUGGUGACCUCCUGGGAGCAAGAGACCACCAUGUUACCUAAGGAAGGGUGAACCGGCCCAGGUCAGAAAUGGAGCAGGUCAAAACUCCCGUGCUGAUCAGUAGUGGGAUUGUGCCUGUGAAUAGCCACUGCACUCCAGCCUGGGCAACGUAGUGAGACUGUGUCUCUA
Macaca fascicularis (crab-eating macaque) is the source of this 300-nucleotide unclassified non-coding RNA. It matches the Rfam family "Metazoan signal recognition particle RNA". From Rfam's summary of the family: The signal recognition particle (SRP) is a universally conserved ribonucleoprotein. It is involved in the co-translational targeting of proteins to membranes. Lineage: Eukaryota; Metazoa; Chordata; Mammalia; Primates; Cercopithecidae. The record is from Ensembl.